GGACAGGUGGUGUAGUGGCUAACACACCUGUGGUACUACGGGAACCCUGUGGUUCGAAUCCCGGUCUGUCCG
RNAcentral lists this transfer RNA (72 nucleotides) under Trametes cinnabarina. RNAcentral's name for it is "Pycnoporus cinnabarinus tRNA". It matches the Rfam family "tRNA". Rfam says of the family: Transfer RNA (tRNA) molecules are approximately 80 nucleotides in length. Their secondary structure includes four short double-helical elements and three loops (D, anti-codon, and T loops). Further hydrogen bonds mediate the characteristic L-shaped molecular structure. tRNAs have two regions of fundamental functional importance: the anti-codon, which is responsible for specific mRNA codon recognition, and the 3' end, to which the tRNAs corresponding amino acid is attached (by aminoacyl-tRNA synthetases). tRNAs cope with the degeneracy of the genetic code in two manners: having more than one tRNA (with a specific anti-codon) for a particular amino acid; and 'wobble' base-pairing, i.e. permitting non-standard base-pairing at the 3rd anti-codon position. The record is from Rfam by way of RNAcentral. Lineage: Eukaryota; Fungi; Basidiomycota; Agaricomycetes; Polyporales; Polyporaceae.